AUUGAACGCUGGCGGCAGGCUUAACACAUGCAAGUCGAGCGGGGUGAUGGUGCUUGCACUAUCACUUAGCGGCGGACGGGUGAGUAAUGCUUAGGAAUCUGCCUAUUAGUGGGGGACAACAUCUCGAAAGGGAUGCUAAUACCGCAUACGUCCUACGGGAGAAAGCAGGGGAUCACUUGUGACCUUGCGCUAAUAGAUGAGCCUAAGCCGGAUUAGCUAGUUGGUGGGGUAAAGGCCUACCAAGGCGACGAUCUGUAGCGGGUCUGAGAGGGUGAUCCGCCACACUGGGACUGGGACACGGCCCAGACUCCUACGGGAGGCAGCAGUGGGGAAUAUUGGACAAUGGGGGGAACCCUGAUCCAGCCAUGCCGCGUGUGUGAAGAAGGCCUUAUGGUUGUAAAGCACUUUAAGCGAGGAGGAGGCUCUUUUGGUUAAUACCCAGAAUGAGUGGACGUUACUCGCAGAAUAAGCACCGGCUAACUCUGUGCCAGCCGCCGCCGUAA
Molecule: ribosomal RNA, 503 nt
Filed under: uncultured bacterium
Lineage: Bacteria
Description: partial 16S ribosomal RNA
Rfam family: Bacterial small subunit ribosomal RNA
Source: RNAcentral